UGCCAGCCGCCGCGGUAAUACGGGCGCUCCAAGCGUUAAUCGGAAUUACUGGGCGUAAAGCGCGCGUAGGCGGUUUUGUAAGUCGGAUGUGAAAUCCCUGGGCUUAACCUGGGAACUGCAUUCGAUACUGCAUAACUAGAGUAUGGUAGAGGGAAGUGGAAUUUCCGGUGUAGCGGUGAAAUGCGUAGAUAUCGGAAGGAACACCAGUGGCGAAGGCGACUUCCUGGGCCACUACUGACGCUGAGGUGCGAAAGCGUGGGGAGCAAACAGGAUUAGAUA
This 279-nucleotide ribosomal RNA is filed under the name uncultured bacterium. Its description in RNAcentral is "partial 16S ribosomal RNA". It matches the Rfam family "Bacterial small subunit ribosomal RNA", at positions 506 to 784 of the family's 1533-position model. The record is from RNAcentral.